This is a long non-coding RNA of Numida meleagris (helmeted guineafowl), 520 nucleotides long. RefSeq lists it as uncharacterized. The transcript is spliced from 3 exons. Lineage: Eukaryota; Metazoa; Chordata; Aves; Galliformes; Numididae. The record is from RefSeq and is a predicted model, not a curated record.
GAGUGGGGAGACUUAAUGGAGGAGAAUUUCCUCUUGUAAAUAUACGAUCACGGGAGAGCUUGCUUUUCGUUUUCACUGCUGAAUCUCAUUUCGGUCAGGCAGGAAACAGCUCAGCUCCCCGGUGCCAGCGGCUUUAUCAGUCAGCGCUUCAGCCAUCAAUAUUCCAGCUCUUCAAAUUGGAUGAAGGCGAGGCGGCUAGCGUUCAAGCUCGUGCCACACGGGGAACAAGAUCCAGGCUGAACGAGGCAAGCAGAGGGACCGUGCUGCAGCGAGAAGGGCUUUCUUCAGUCGUUGCUCACUGACCUACACCAGCUGCUCGAACAAAAAGGCAGCGUGACCUUCAGGCUCACUGGAGAGCACACUGAGGGCUGUGAGUGCUCAGGCUCCACACGUUAAGGGUGCCUAAAGCACAGCAGCUUUGAGAGAGCAAAGAGGGUGAGUAGCAGAUUUUUUUCUCCCCCUCCGUCAGACUUCGUGAGCUGCCUUCUGCUAAAGAAAAGCAUUUAAUUUUUUUGUGAAC